UACGUAGGGGGCAAGCGUUGUCCGGAUUUAUUGGGCGUAAAGAGCGUGUAGGCGGCUAGAUAGGUCCGUUGUGAAAACUCGAGGCUCAACCUCGAGACGUCGAUGGAAACCAUCUGGCUAGAGUCCGGAAGAGGAGAGUGGAAUUCCUGGUGUAGCGGUGAAAUGCGCAGAUAUCAGGAAGAACACCCGUGGCGAAGGCGGUUCUCUGGGACGGUACUGACGCUGAGACGCGAAAGCGUGGGGAGCGAACAGG
Molecule: ribosomal RNA, 253 nt
Filed under: uncultured bacterium
Lineage: Bacteria
Description: partial 16S ribosomal RNA
Rfam family: Bacterial small subunit ribosomal RNA
Source: RNAcentral